RNAcentral lists this transfer RNA (72 nucleotides) under Camelus ferus (Wild Bactrian camel). It matches the Rfam family "tRNA". Rfam says of the family: Transfer RNA (tRNA) molecules are approximately 80 nucleotides in length. Lineage: Eukaryota; Metazoa; Chordata; Mammalia; Artiodactyla; Camelidae. The record is from Rfam by way of RNAcentral.
GGGUGUAUAGCUAAGUGGUAGAAUGUGUGCUUAGCAGGCACAAGGUCCUGGGUUCAAUCCCCAGUAACUCCA